ACGCAGAUAAAAAAGCAGACCAUGACUUUGUUAGUGCGACUGCUCUUCUUUUUCCGCGUUAAUAAAAAAAAGAUAUACUCUCACUGCCUGCACCAUCAGUAAACAACUUCUUAUCUUAUCAUACAAUCUUAUCAUACAAUCUUAUCACAUCGAUCAACUAUAUAGAAAUCAAUUAGAGACGUGUCCAGUUUAGUCUAAUCUAUAUGUUUGCCAAUUUGUCAACACACACAAAAACUGAGACUAACUUAAAUUUUGUGAUUGGAGAUUGUAUUACGUACGUCGCAUUCAAAAAUAUUUCACAAUCUUUGAUUUUUCAACAAAAAUACAUCGGAAUCA
Molecule: long non-coding RNA, 336 nt
Filed under: Brassica napus (rape)
Lineage: Eukaryota; Viridiplantae; Streptophyta; Magnoliopsida; Brassicales; Brassicaceae
Description: long non-coding RNA (BNAP_LNC018711)
Source: RNAcentral